Molecule: ribosomal RNA, 449 nt
Filed under: uncultured bacterium
Lineage: Bacteria
Description: bacterial SSU rRNA
Rfam family: Bacterial small subunit ribosomal RNA
Source: RNAcentral
CGCCAGACUCCUACGGGAGGCAGCAGUGGGGGAUAUUGCACAAUGGGGGAAACCCUGAUGCAGCGACGCCGCGUGAGCGAUGAAGUAUUUCGGUAUGUAAAGCUCUAUCAGCAGGGAAGAAAAUGACGGUACCUGACUAAGAAGCCCCGGCUAACUACGUGCCAGCAGCCGCGGUAAUACGUAGGGGGCAAGCGUUAUCCGGAUUUACUGGGUGUAAAGGGAGCGUAGACGGCAGUGCAAGUCUGAAGUGAAAGGCAAGGGCUCAACCCUUGGACUGCUUUGGAAACUGUGCUGCUCGAGUGUCGGAGAGGCAAGUGGAAUUCCUAGUGUAGCGGUGAAAUGCGUAGAUAUUAGGAGGAACACCAGUGGCGAAGGCGGCUUACUGGACUGUAACUGACGUUGAGGCUCGAAAGCGUGGGGAGCAAACAGGAUUAGAUACCCUUGUAAAU